Molecule: small nuclear RNA, 107 nt
Filed under: Meriones unguiculatus (Mongolian gerbil)
Lineage: Eukaryota; Metazoa; Chordata; Mammalia; Rodentia; Muridae
Source: RNAcentral
GUGCAUGCUUCGGAAGCACAUUUACUAAAAUUGGAGCGAUACAGAGAAGAUUAGCAUGGCCCCCGUGCAAGGAUGACACACAAAUUCGUGAUGUGUUCCAUGUUUUU